GCCGAAAUAGCUCAGUUGGGAGAGCGUUAGACUGAAGAUCUAAAGGUCCCAUGUUCGAUCCUGGGUUUUGGCA
Salvelinus namaycush (lake trout) is the source of this 73-nucleotide non-coding RNA. NCBI's taxonomy places the organism in Eukaryota, Metazoa, Chordata, Actinopteri, Salmoniformes, Salmonidae. The record is from the annotation of a RefSeq genome assembly.